Small nucleolar RNA from Megalops cyprinoides (Indo-Pacific tarpon), 68 nucleotides. Lineage: Eukaryota; Metazoa; Chordata; Actinopteri; Elopiformes; Megalopidae. The record is from RefSeq and is a predicted model, not a curated record.
UGUGAGUGAUGACUCCUCUUUCCCGACUCCUAAUAUGGGGGUAAAAACUGAUUUAAUGAGCCUGACAC